Molecule: non-coding RNA, 1919 nt
Organism: Podarcis muralis (Common wall lizard)
Lineage: Eukaryota; Metazoa; Chordata; Lepidosauria; Squamata; Lacertidae
Source: RefSeq, a predicted model, not a curated record
AGUAGUAGGCCUCGGAGCGCUCCAUUGCUGGCGCCGGGGGUCGGGAGGGGAAGCGGGCAAGAAAGGCGAGGCCCGCCCGCCCGCCGCCUCAGGAUAAGGCGAGCCCGGACCAACUGUGACUCACUGAAACUACUCACAGGAUCGUCUUGGAAAAAUUAAUUGGAUCACCAGCGCUAAAGGUUUGACUGAUUCGGAAGCAGCAUACUGCUGUGUUGCAAGAUGCAGUGUUUUACACAUCGACUGGAACUGUUUCCUGACUGCCUUGUUACUCUUAUCCUAUUUAAUGAUGUGAAAAAUGCUGCCACGCUAAGAAAAAAAGCAAUGGAAGGAGCUAUUGAUGGAGCAUUAAUUAAUCCUGCAAUGAUUGUUGAUCCAUUUCAGUUACUCGUGGCAACGAAUAAAGCUGUACAUCUCUACAAGAUCAAUAAAAUGAAGACAAGAACUCUUAACGCUGAAAUAAUAUUCAACCUUUCCCCGAACAAUAAUAUUUCAGAUGCCUUCAGAAAGUUUGGCAUUUCGGACAGUGACACCGCAGUACUCAUUGUUCUGGUUGAAGACCAAGAGAAAACCGUGAAUCUGGACGACGUAAUACGUCAAGUGGAAGGCCAGCAAGUCCCCUUAUCAGACCUCCCCAAAAUAACAGACCUACAGAAAGUUAAAAAGGAAAAGAGAAAAAAACCACGAGGACACUUGCCAGUCUGGCCCAAUGAAAAAUGCCAUCUUUGUUUGCCUGAAAGGAAAUAUUGGAGCUUGAACGCAAGCAAACACCUUCCACCAGUGGUCUCAAGGUUUUCAGGAUAAUCUGUCUUUUCAAAAGCUGGACCGGUGUGGGGGUGUGGGAUCUGUAGGAUAAUAUCUAGAGCUGGAAGAGGGAAGGAUCUGAAGCUUCUGAAACAACACUUCAGCAGUAUUAUCAUGGAAAAUUAAAGGCUUGUUUUCAUUGCCUGACAAAGCAAAUGGCACAUGGAAUAUAUCAUCCAACUUGCUGGCUGGAGAGCAGACACUAUUUUUGGUAGUUUGAACUAACGGCAAGCAGGGAUUGACCGAAUGUUGACGUGAGUUAUUAGAUAAUGAACCAGAUCUACUGAGAUCCAAUGAUAUGAUUAACCACUCCACUCUUUCUGGAUGACCCCGCCCAAGUUCGGUGCUACGAAACUGGGAGCCUGUUAAAUCAAAGAAGAAAUUACACCAAGCGAAAACACUGACCCAGCCUUCUUAAAAUAGAGGCAUGCAUUCCUUUUCCUCGGUGGAUUGCUCUUGCAACUCUUCCCUGAAAGCGCGAAACCAGCCGAGAUCCCGUCAAUCAGUGACCUGAAAGCCCUCAGUCGGUAGCAGUGAGGCUGACUUUGCACAGCUGAAAGAGGAGCGGAGAAUUGAGAUCCUCCGGGAUACAACUUUGGAGCUGCUGCUGCUGCUGCUGCAAGUCAUGAACUAACUAAACCAAUAGCACGUUCUCUCCCCUCGCUGACUGCUUGGGCCUUUAUAAACAGAAGCAGCUAAGUCUCUGCCAAAUGUGGAGCAAUGAAAGAAGCCCUCCCUGUUUGUAGCAUGCGCGUGUGCAAAAGGGAGGUGUGCGAGAAGUGGGGGAGACACUUGGCUGACAAAAUAGACCGCUCUGUUUUCAAGCCAACCCUUAUGCAGGACACAGACACCUUUCCACGAUUCUUCUCUUGCGAUACGAGCAUGGGAAUUUCUCAAACAGAUCUCACGGGUACCCCAAGGGCUCGCAAUAGCCAGUCUGAGCGGGAGGCUUAUUGAAAAUGUCACUUCUCAGAAGUUAACUUUGGAUUCUACACAAUGACAUGUUUCUACUGGCAUUGCACCACUUUGAAGGACAGGUGUGUGCCCCUAAAUCAGGGUAGGCAACCUAAGGCCCUUCUCAAUCCGGCCCGCAGAUGGUCUGGGAACCAGCGUGUUUU